Molecule: unclassified non-coding RNA, 751 nt
Filed under: Hevea brasiliensis (rubber tree)
Lineage: Eukaryota; Viridiplantae; Streptophyta; Magnoliopsida; Malpighiales; Euphorbiaceae
Source: RNAcentral
AAAGUAGAUCCUCAUCAUCCAUGUUAUAUAAGGUGAUUAUUGAUAUCAAUUGAUGGUUUCAAAGCUCUCAUUGGUUAGACUCCACGGUCUUGGGAAGAAAAGGAACGAUAAGGUAUGGUGUUACAUGGAGCUUUGUGGUGGAUUAUGAAUAGGAGGAGCUUGUCCAAAUGGAUGAACCAUGCCCUUGAUCAACAUCUCAAAAAGGCUAAGUGAUGGUGGAUUAUGAAUAAGCAUAACUUCUCCAAAUGGAGAAACAAGAUCCUCGAUCAAGAUCCCAGAAAGGCUAAGUGAUAGUGGAUUAUGAAUAAGUGGAGCUUAUCUAGAUGGAGGAAGGCGAAGCUUAUCCAGAUGGAGGAACAAGACCCUUGAUCAAUAUUCCAAAAACGCUAAGUGAUGAUGGAUUAUGAAUAGGCAGAACUUGUUCAGAUGGAGGAGCAGGACCCUUGGUCAAUAUCGUAGAAAGGUUAAGUGAUUGUGGAUUAUGAAUAGGUAGAGCUUAUCAUGAUGGAGGAAUAGAACCUUCGAUCAAUAUCCUAUAAAAGUUAAUAUGUCAUGACCCGAUCCCAUGGGCCGGACCGGCACUAAGAUAUGGGCAGAUAUAAAGCCCCCGAGCCUCGUAAUAAGUCUUACUGUUCCCAAAUCCAUAAUCAAGGCCCAAAAACUGAGGGUCAACAUGUAAAUAAAAUAAAAAUAAAAUAUUUUAUUUUAAUUCGGAUCAACCCAACCCAAUAAAUAUCAGCUACUAAAGCAA